GAUGAAGAACGUAGCGAAAUGCGAUACUUGGUGUCAAUUGCAGAAUCCCGUGAACCAUCGAGUCUUUGAACGCAAGUUGCGCCCGAAGCCAUUAGGCCGAGGGCACGCCUGCCUGGGUGUCACACGUCGUUGCCCCCCCAUCUACUCCUUCGGGAUUGCGGGGGGCGGAUGAUGGCCUCCCGUGCGCCUCGUCGCGCGGUUGGCAUAAAUGCCAAGUCCUCAGCGACGCACGCCACGACAAUCGGUGGUUGCGAAACCUCGGUUGCCCGUCGUGUGCGGUCGUCGCGCAUCGAGGGCUCGAAAAAUUGCCGGGCUCCGGCUCGGCUUUCAACGCGACCCCAGGUCAGGCGGGGUUACCCGCUGAAUUUAAGCAUAUCAAUAAGCGGAGGA
This 390-nucleotide unclassified non-coding RNA is filed under the name soil metagenome. Its description in RNAcentral is "partial contains 5.8S ribosomal RNA, internal transcribed spacer 2, and large subunit ribosomal RNA". The stretch from base 1 to 122 matches the Rfam family "5.8S ribosomal RNA", at positions 35 to 154 of the family's 154-position model. The record is from RNAcentral.